UUAAAAACUCUCUCUCCCCUUUCACCAUCUCACUCACGACCUUCCCCUUCCCCCCAAUUUUUUUAUUCUUCCGUACGCCCUAGCCGUCAUUCUCCCCUCGCCUCCGUUUGCGUCGCUGUUAUUGAGUUUUUCAUUCCAUUGUUUGCUCAGCCGCGCCAGCCCUCUUCCUCGUCGUUUGUUCAACUCCCUCGCCGUUUGUUCAGCUGCGUUGGCCAUCUAGCUGUGCACGUCACUUGCGAGUUUUCAGCCCCAUCCAUAUUUGUAGCCGAACGCCCUCAACCGCUUCCAUCGCUUUAGCCACACCCAGAUCUGUAGCCGAACGCUUCCGUCGCUUCAUCUCCGCCCAGAUCUGUAGCCAAACGCCCUCAACCGCUUCUGUCGCUUCAGUCAAGGUAGUCCAGCCAAAUCCGCUCGUUGUCGUCGAGGUUGUCCACAUCUUCGUUGAGGUCUAGCUUUGUAACAGAUCUGUUCAAGUGUGGGCUUCACUCUAUCUUGUCAGAUCUAUACUCCAUCUCGCUGGAAUCUUGUAUUUUUGGAUUCAAGAUUCGGAGAACAUUAAUGUGUUGUCCAACAAGUUGAUAUUGAUUUCGGUAAGAUUUUCCCAUAAGUUUUUUUACCCAAGUUGAUUGAUGCUCUUUGUGAUUUGGCCUUAGAUUCAAGAUUUGGAGAACAUUAAUAUGUUGUCCAACAGGAUGAUAUUGAUUUCGGUAAGAUUUUUCCAUAAGUUUUUUUACCCAAAUUGAUUGAUGCUCUUUGUGAUUUGGCUUUUGAUUCAAGAUUUGGAGAACAUUAAUGUGCUGUCCAACAGGUUGAUAUUGAUUUCGAUUGAAGUGUUGGAAGGAGUUGAGUUGCUGUCCAAUAGGUUUGAGACCGAUCUUGAUUUCGAAGGAUUGGAGCCAUUAUCCAACAAAGUUAAUGAUGUUUGGAUGUUUUGAUAGGCUGACUUGCUUAAACAUGGCUUGCCUGACCUUUAGUUCUCGAUCUUUAGAAUUUAAAGCUCAAUGUAUAGAUUAAAUAAUGUACUUUAUUGAGAGGUUAUUUAUUAAACAAUUUGUCACUUUUGUGUUUGUUGAAAGUUGAGUUUUGUAUACAAAAGCAAUAGUUGAGAUUUUAUUUUGCGUGUGAAAGAGAAAUAUUGUUGUAAUUUGUGAGGAGUGUUCAUAGUUGAACACAUGGAUUUUAGUGAAUAUAUUGUGUUGAUAGAUCUUAAAUGUAUAAUGUUUAUUUAUUU
Benincasa hispida (wax gourd) is the source of this 1231-nucleotide long non-coding RNA. RefSeq lists it as uncharacterized. The record is from RefSeq and is a predicted model, not a curated record. Lineage: Eukaryota; Viridiplantae; Streptophyta; Magnoliopsida; Cucurbitales; Cucurbitaceae.